UGGGGAAUAUUGCGCAAUGGGCGAAAGCCUGACGCAGCGACGCCGCGUGAGGGAUGAAGGUUUUCGGAUCGUAAACCUCUGUCAGAAGGGAAGAAACUACAUUGUGCUAAUCAGCAGUGUACUGACGGUACCUUCAAAGGAAGCACCGGCUAACUCCGUGCCAGCAGCCGCGGUAAUACGGGGGGUGCAAGCGUUAAUCGGAAUUACUGGGCGUAAAGCGCACGUAGGCUGUAGUGUGAGUCAGGGGUGAAAUCCCACGGCUCAACCGUGGAACUGCCUUUGAUACUGCACAACUUGAAUCCGGGAGAGGGUGGCGGAAUUCCAGGUGUAGGAGUGAAAUCCGUAGAUAUCUGGAGGAACAUCAGUGGCGAAGGCGGCCACCUGGACCGGUAUUGACGCUGAGGUGCGAAAGCGUGGGGAGCAAACAG
This 428-nucleotide ribosomal RNA is filed under the name uncultured bacterium. RNAcentral's name for it is "bacterial SSU rRNA". It matches the Rfam family "Bacterial small subunit ribosomal RNA", at positions 355 to 775 of the family's 1533-position model. The record is from RNAcentral.